RNAcentral lists this ribosomal RNA (253 nucleotides) under uncultured bacterium. RNAcentral describes it as "partial 16S ribosomal RNA". It matches the Rfam family "Bacterial small subunit ribosomal RNA", at positions 524 to 776 of the family's 1533-position model. The record is from RNAcentral.
UACGAAGGGGGCUAGCGUUGCUCGGAAUCACUGGGCGUAAAGCGCACGUAGGCGGGUCUUUAAGUCAGGGGUGAAAUCCUGGAGCUCAACUCCAGAACUGCCUUUGAUACUGAGGAUCUCGAGUCCGGGAGAGGUGAGUGGAACUGCGAGUGUAGAGGUGAAAUUCGUAGAUAUUCGCAAGAACACCAGUGGCGAAGGCGGCUCACUGGCCCGAUACUGACGCUGAGGUGCGAAAGCGUGGGGAGCAAACAGG